This 408-nucleotide ribosomal RNA is filed under the name Triticum aestivum (bread wheat). Its description in RNAcentral is "partial small subunit ribosomal RNA". Lineage: Eukaryota; Viridiplantae; Streptophyta; Magnoliopsida; Poales; Poaceae. The record is from RNAcentral.
AUGGGCCGCGAGAACGCCGGAGAGAUCACUCGCCGGGACGCGACGGAGCGGCCCAAGGGGCGGAGUAUACGGGAACGUGCUGACCCGCUUUUGAGCUCCGGCUUCGUUCGCGUGGGGGUGGGGCCGCCGACCGCCGGAGACCCGUGCGGGUCCCGUCUCUGCGGCGCGGGGUGGGGCACACGCGCUGUGUUACGCUUUGCCUUUUACCACCGCCGGCCUUUUUCCCUUUGCUUCGGUGUCGCUUUCUUUACCGGUGUGGGGUACGUACGGCGCGGACAGGGAAAAGAGGCGCAGGGGCAUCGGACGGCCCUGUUUGAAAGGGCCGACGUCGGUGCCGGUCCCCGCCGUCGGAUCGGCGACGUCCCGCAGCUCGAGACGGCUGUGCUGCUGUCGUUGUUCACGGGAUGA